This 460-nucleotide ribosomal RNA is filed under the name uncultured bacterium. RNAcentral describes it as "partial 16S ribosomal RNA". It matches the Rfam family "Bacterial small subunit ribosomal RNA", at positions 338 to 795 of the family's 1533-position model. The record is from RNAcentral.
CCUACGGGUGGCAGCAGUGAGGAAUAUUGGUCAAUGGCCGUAAGGCUGAACCAGCCAAGCCGCGUGAAGGAAGAAGGAUCUAUGGUUUGUAAACUUCUUUUAUAGGGGAAUAAAGGUAUCCACGUGUGGAUAUUUGCAUGUACCCUAUGAAUAAGCAUCGGCUAACUCCGUGCCAGCAGCCGCGGUAAUACGGAGGAUGCGAGCGUUAUCCGGAUUUAAUGGGGUUAAAGGGUGCGUAGGUUGUUUUUUAAGUCAGCGGUGAAAGUUUGUGGCUCAACCAUUAAAUUGCCGUUGAAACUGUAAGGCUUGAGUGUAGUUGAGGUAGGUGGAAUGCGUGGUGUAGCGGUGAAAUGCGUAGAUAUCACGCGGAACUCCGAUUGCGAAGGCAGCUUACUAGGCCAUAACUGACACUGAAGCACGAAAGCGUGGGGAUCAAACAGGAUUAGAUACCCUGGUAGUC